AUUUUGAAAUAUGAAGUGACCCGUUUUCAUCUGUGUCUGGCCAUGUCAGUCUGCUGUGUCUUCCUGGGCCAUGGUGGUCUCACAUUACCUCUCAUCUCUUUUCCCUCAAGUUGACUUACUGUGAUAUCUGAAAGAAAUUCUUUUCAGCUGCUUGUGUUUAAGUAAAAUAAUUUCCUGUACUUCUAGGGGAGAAGCUUGGGCUGAGAGAGAGGUCCCGAACUUCAUGAGUCCAGAGCUCUUGUGUCUCUUACUUGCUAUGAAGUUUUAUAAAAUAUGUCUUGCUGGGCUCUGAUGUCUCACGCCUUCCUCACUAUUCAUUGGGCCUUCUCUUCCCUCUGCCCCUGUGGUCUUGACCUCAUCAGUUCAGACUUUUUCCGCAGCAGUUUUCUGCUCAGCACAGGGUCUCGGUUUUCAGGGGGCUCUGGUAUUAACUGUGUGAGUUCACAUCUUGGGCACGUCUGGUGUGCUGUGGCUCCUCUUCUCACCCGUGACUUGGAGCCUUCAAGAUCCCCCUCUCAGUUUCGCUUGCU
Molecule: long non-coding RNA, 530 nt
Filed under: Bos taurus (domestic cattle)
Lineage: Eukaryota; Metazoa; Chordata; Mammalia; Artiodactyla; Bovidae
Description: long non-coding RNA NONBTAT020388
Source: RNAcentral